UACGUAGGGUGCAAGCGUUAAUCGGAAUUACUGGGCGUAAAGCGUGCGCAGGCGGUUCUGCAAGACAGAUGUGAAAUCCCCGGGCUUAACCUGGGAACCGCAUUUGUGACUGCAUAGCUGGAGUACGGCAGAGGGGGAUGGAAUUCCGCGUGUAGCAGUGAAAUGCGUAGAUAUGCGGAGGAACACCGAUGGCGAAGGCAGUCCCCUGGGCCUGUACUGACGCUCAUGCACGAAAGCGUGGGGAGCAAACAGG
This 253-nucleotide ribosomal RNA is filed under the name uncultured bacterium. RNAcentral's name for it is "partial 16S ribosomal RNA". It matches the Rfam family "Bacterial small subunit ribosomal RNA", at positions 524 to 776 of the family's 1533-position model. The record is from RNAcentral.